CGCAGCGAUCAGUGUAAUUGCGUCACAGCAAUCACCGGUUAGGGUUCAAUCCCCACCGCUGUCCGUAUGGAGUGCAUACAUACUCUCUGGGUCCACAUGGGCCAUAUCAUUCUGGACCUUAAGGUACAAGAUUGUGUUGGAACAACAACCUUGCACUCAACGUCAACAAGAUCAAGGUAUUGAUUGUGGACUUCAGGAAGGGGAAGUCGAGCGAACACACACCAGAAGGCACCACAGCAGCUAUAUUACAUUAGGAGUUUAAGGAGAAUUGGCAUGCCACCAAAGUCACUUGCAAAUUUCUACAGAUGUACCAUGGAGAGCCUUCUAACUGGUUGCAUUGCUGUCUGGAAUGAAGGGGCCACUGCACAGAAUCAGAAAAGGCUACAGGCUCAGCUAGCUCUAUCAUGGGCAAUAGCCUGCCUAGCAUCGAGGACACGUUCAAAAGGCAAUGCCUCAAAAAGGCAACAUCCAUCAUUAAGGACCCCUAUCACCAAGGACAUGCUCUCUUCUCAUUUCUACCAUCAAGGAGAAGGCACAGGAGCCUGAAGACACACACUCAACUUUUCAGGAUGUUGUGCAGUCAUGCAACAUGCAAAUCAUUUUCUAAUUAUCUAAUAGUUUGGCUUCAAAAAUGUGUGAACUUAAUUUGAACAUCCAAAAGAAAAAGGGAGUAUUUGCAUUUGUAUAGUAUCUUACAAAAUAGAACAAUGAUCCAAAACACAUUCUUGACAAAGUUAUGACUGUUAUUUAAACAAACUAGGUAAAUUAAGAUUUUCACAUUAGACUUGAUAUUUGAUAAGUAUGGUGAACAUUUAGAUAUAUUCAAUUUAAUCUCCUUUAGUGACACUGGCUAACGAAUAAAUAUUGGUCAGGACACUGGGAGAACUUGCUGUACUUUUCAAAUAGAACCAGCAUGGGAGACCUCAGUUUUAUGUAUCAAAGCUUGAAAUUUUUGGCAAUAUUACAUUCCCUCAGCUGGACCUCAUGAUCCUGAAUAAUAAUCUUGCAGUAAUGAAUCAGCUUUUCUCACGAGGAGUGCAAUGUGUACCCAAUUUAUCCUGAUGAGAUAGGAACACAGCUCAUAAGUUUUGCACAUUGGUAGUUUGUUAGUGUUUGUUAUUAAUAGUUUUUCAUAAAUUAAAGCCAGAAACAGUCCCUUUGGUCCAUCGAGUCCGUGUCAAACAAUUUAAACUGCCUUGUCCCAUUGACCUGCACUGGGACCAUAGCUCUCUAUUCCCCUGCCAUCCAUGUAUCUAUCCAAACUUUCCUUAAACUUUGAAAUCAAGCUCACAUUGUUUGGCAGCACGUUCCACACUCUCAUGACCCUCUCAGUGAAUAAAUUUCCCUUCAUGUUCCCCUUAAACUUUUUACCUUUCACCCUUAAGCCGUGGCCUCCAGUUGUAGUACCACCCAAACUCAUUGGAAAAUGCUUGCUUGCAUUUACCUUGUCUAUACCCCUCACAAUUUUGCAUACCUCUAUCAAAUCUCCUCUCAGUCUUCUAUGUUGCAAGGAAUAAAGUCCUAACCUAUUCAAUCUUUCCUUAUGACUCAGGUCCCCCAGUCCUGGCAACAUCAUGGUAAAUUUUCUCUGCACUCUUUCUAUUGUAUUUCUUUAUUUUCCUGUAAAUGCCUGCAAGAAAACAAAUCUCAAUAUAGUAACGGUGACAUAUAUGUAUUUGGAUAAUAAAUUUACUUUGAAUAACUGGAUGUUGAAAAGAGAACCCAAACAAUACUUUUAAAUUUCAAAAAUGGAGCCUGGAUGCUGUGUCUAGAAGAGGGGAUUUCAGUCUUAGACUAUUGCAUAAUUCAUUUAAGAAGGAAGGUAUCAAAGCUGCAGAGAAAGACCAGGAACGUGGUAUUGAGAUCAUCAAAGAUCCUCACCAUCCAGCUCAUGCUCCGUUUUCACUGCUGCCAUUAGAUAGUAAGUACAAGAGCCUCAGGACUUGCACCAACAGGUUCAAGAACAGUUACUAACCCUCAAUCUCGAACAAAAGGGGUAAGUACACUCAUUCUGUUUCUGGUGUUCCCACAACCAAUGGUCUCACUUGAAACACUCUCUAUCUUGUUAUUUCAUGCUCUCAUUUUUUAUUGCUGUUCAUAUUUGCACUUGUGUAGUUUGUUGUUGAUUGAUCCUGUUUACAGUUACUGUUCUAUAAAUGUGUUAAGUAUGCCUGCAGGAAAAAGAAUCAGUGUUGACAUAAAGUGCAUGUACUCUGAAAACAUAUUUUACUUUGAACUUUAGUGGAGCAGGUAGGAAGGAUUGUUCUCUCUUUUUCCAUUCCCCAUUCUGGGUCCUCUCUUAACCCUUCUCCUCAACUCUCAUCCCUCAGAUUCCCUCCCUCCUUCCCUUUCUGUGAUUGUCCACUCUUCUCUCCUAUCAGAUUCCUUCUUCUUCUUCAGCCCUUUACCUCUUCCAUUUAUCAUCUCCCAGUUUCUUACAUCAUUCCCCCCUCUGCCGCCCACCCACCUGCCCUCUUACC
Molecule: long non-coding RNA, 2480 nt
Organism: Hypanus sabinus (Atlantic stingray)
Lineage: Eukaryota; Metazoa; Chordata; Chondrichthyes; Myliobatiformes; Dasyatidae
Exons: 2
Source: RefSeq, a predicted model, not a curated record